UAGGGAAUCUUCCGCAAUGGGCGAAAGCUUGACGGAGCAACGCCGCGUGAGUGAUGAAGGUCUUCGGAUCGUAAAACUCUGUUAUUAGGGAAGAACAAAUGUGUAAGUAACUAUGCACGUCUUGACGGUACCUAAUCAGAAAGCCACGGCUAACUACGUGCCAGCAGCCGCGGUAAUACGUAGGUGGCAAGCGUUAUCCGGAAUUAUUGGGCGUAAAGCGCGCGUAGGCGGUUUUUUAAGUCUGAUGUGAAAGCCCACGGCUCAACCGUGGAGGGUCAUUGGAAACUGGAAAACUUGAGUGCAGAAGAGGAAAGUGGAAUUCCCUGUGUAGCGGUGAAAUGCGCAGAGAUAUGGAGGAACACCAGUGGCGAAGGCGACUUUCUGGUCUGUAACUGACGCUGAUGUGCGAAAGCGUGGGGAUCAAACAGG
This 429-nucleotide ribosomal RNA is filed under the name Actinomycetes bacterium. RNAcentral describes it as "Actinobacteria bacterium partial 16S ribosomal RNA". It matches the Rfam family "Bacterial small subunit ribosomal RNA", at positions 355 to 776 of the family's 1533-position model. Lineage: Bacteria; Bacillati; Actinomycetota; Actinomycetes. The record is from RNAcentral.